This 492-nucleotide ribosomal RNA is filed under the name uncultured bacterium. RNAcentral describes it as "partial 16S ribosomal RNA". It matches the Rfam family "Bacterial small subunit ribosomal RNA", at positions 29 to 507 of the family's 1533-position model. The record is from RNAcentral.
AGUGAACGCUGGCGGUAGGCCUAACACAUGCAAGUCGAACGGCAGCACAGUAAGAGCUUGCUCUUACGGGUGGCGAGUGGCGGACGGGUGAGGAAUACAUCGGAAUCUACUUUUUCGUGGGGGAUAACGUAGGGAAACUUACGCUAAUACCGCAUACGACCUACGGGUGAAAGCAGGGGAUCUUCGGACCUUGCGCGAUUGAAUGAGCCGAUGUCGGAUUAGCUAGUUGGCGGGGUAAAGGCCCACCAAGGCGACGAUCCGUAGCUGGUCUGAGAGAAUGAUCAGCCACACUGGAACUGAGACACGGUCCAGACUCCUCCGGGAGGCAGCAGUGGGGAAUAUUGGACGAUGGGCGCAAGCCUGAUCCAGCCAUACCGCGUGGGUGAAGAAGGCCUUCGGGUUGUAAAGCCCUUUUGUUGGGAAAGAAAAGCAGCAGGUUAAUACCCCGCUGUUCUGACGGUACCCAAGGAAUAAGCACCGGCUAACUUCGUG